This 244-nucleotide unclassified non-coding RNA is filed under the name plant metagenome. RNAcentral's name for it is "partial contains small subunit ribosomal RNA, internal transcribed spacer 1, and 5.8S ribosomal RNA". The record is from RNAcentral.
GAUCCGUUGGUGAACCAGCGGAGGGAUCAUUACCGAGUUUACAACUCCCAAACCCAAUGUGAACCAUACCAAACUGUUGCCUCGGCGGGGUCACGCCCCGGGUGCGUCGCAGCCGCGGAACCAGGCGCCCGCCGGAGGGACCAACCAAACUCUUUCUGUAGUCCCCUCGCGGACGUUAUUUUUACAGCUCUGAGCAAAAAUUCAAAAUGAAUCAAAACUUUCAACAACGGAUCUCUUGGUUCUG